UGUGUGUGUCCUUGUAUGACCUUCACUGGAGCAGGUAUCAUGUCUUGCUUUAUAUCUUUUUAUAUGUUAAUCUCCUAGCAUAAUACCUGACCACAGUAGACCUUGAUGAGUAUCUAUUGAGUAUGUGAGUGUGAUGGAUGCCCUCUAAGGUAGCUCAGCAGAUGCUUUCUCUCUUCUGUUAUUGUCUUCCUGUUGCGCAUAGAGCAGACAGUGUGAGCAUCCUCUACUGAGUCAUGUAUGAUGAAAGUAAUGAGCUAUAUGCCAAGUGUGGUGGCUCCCACCUGUCAUCCCAGAACUCAGCCAGCCAAGCCAGUAGAAGUGCCAUAAGUUUCAGGCCAGCCUGGGCUACCUAGUAAGUUACAGGCCAGCCUGAGUCACAGUUGAAACCUAGAUCAAAACACAACACCAUACAACACACGAGUUACGCACUAGCAUUUUCAGCUAGGUUACAGGAAGCCGAGGCUUUCUCCACAUCUUCCCUCACUUCUUUGCCUGGCAUUCUAAGGUGAGCCAACUGCCACACCUUAUGCUGUUCUAUGGAAGGACCCAAACGCCAAGGAACUGGCAUCUCUGGAUAAUAGCCAGUGAGAAACCCCCGUUUGUCAAAGACCACUAUGUGACCACUGCUGUUUCUCAGACCCACCACCAUGACUCACCAUGUCAAUGCUCUUUGGGGAGUGGUGUAUGUAUAAGCGGGUAGGAUGGACUGAGGGUAAAUGAACCACAUCCAACCAUGGGAACAGAUGCAACAGUGAAAAGAACAUCCCCGUCGCUUUGUCUGAGACUGCCACUCAUGCCUGGGGUUGCAAGGCAGACAUUUUUAAAAGUCUAAAAGCUUGGGCAUGUUUAGGAAACAGAUGGGAAACAAAUGAAGCAUUGAGGGUUUGCAAA
This is a long non-coding RNA of Mus musculus (house mouse), 891 nucleotides long. RefSeq annotates it as predicted gene, 33968. Lineage: Eukaryota; Metazoa; Chordata; Mammalia; Rodentia; Muridae. The transcript has 3 exons. The record is from RefSeq and is a predicted model, not a curated record.